Molecule: long non-coding RNA, 206 nt
Filed under: Brassica napus (rape)
Lineage: Eukaryota; Viridiplantae; Streptophyta; Magnoliopsida; Brassicales; Brassicaceae
Description: long non-coding RNA (BNAP_LNC016249)
Source: RNAcentral
UGACAACAUGUUUAGUAUUUUUCCAAGGGUUUAGGGGUUUACCCAAGGAUUUAGGGUUUACCCAAGGAUUUAGGGUUUACCCAAAGAUUUAGAGUUUAGGGUUUAGUAUUAGAGUUUAGGGUUUAGUGUUUUGUUGACAACAUUUUUUUUUUUGAAUUCAUUUUUUAUAUAUUAUUUUUAUUUAUUUUUAAAUUUUAUUUUGAAAA